UACAGAGGGUGCAAGCGUUGCUCGGAUUUACUGGGCGUAAAGCGUACGCAGACGGCUUGGCAAGUCGGGAGUGAAAGCCCUGGGCUCAACCCAGGAACUGCUUUCGAUACUAUCAGUCUUGAGUUUGGGAGAGGGAAGCGGAAUUCCUGGUGUAGAGGUGAAAUUCGUAGAUAUCUGGAGGAACACCGGUGGCGAAGGCGGCGUCCUGGACCAACACUGACACUGAGGAGCGAAAGCCAGGGGAGCAAACGGG
Molecule: ribosomal RNA, 253 nt
Filed under: uncultured bacterium
Lineage: Bacteria
Description: partial 16S ribosomal RNA
Rfam family: Bacterial small subunit ribosomal RNA
Source: RNAcentral